Molecule: non-coding RNA, 83 nt
Organism: Cyprinus carpio (common carp)
Lineage: Eukaryota; Metazoa; Chordata; Actinopteri; Cypriniformes; Cyprinidae
Source: the annotation of a RefSeq genome assembly
UGCACUUAAAUGGGGAUGUAGCUCAGUGGUAGAGCGCAUGCUUUGCAUGUAUGAGGUCCUGGGUUCAAUCCCCAGCAUUGCAA